GUGGCAGACGCUCCUGUGCGAGAACCGAAGGCAGGGGAAGGCCGAGAAGACGCUUCCUCUGCCAAUGCUGUUCAGGGAGGCCGAGGCGAGCGACGCCAACGUGUUCCUGACGGAGACGUCUUGCAGGGCGCGGCCGGCGCCCCGUGCCUGGUGCGCCGUCGAGAGCUGGGCCCGCCAGAACCCGGCGUCACGCGUGUGGUACCUGCUGACGGCGCCGCAGCUGGACGACUCCGACGGCGUGGCGUCGCUCCUCCUGCGGGAGUACGGGAACCUCCGCUUCG
Long non-coding RNA from Penaeus indicus, 281 nucleotides. RefSeq lists it as uncharacterized. NCBI's taxonomy places the organism in Eukaryota, Metazoa, Arthropoda, Malacostraca, Decapoda, Penaeidae. The record is from RefSeq and is a predicted model, not a curated record. The transcript has 3 exons.